Caenorhabditis elegans is the source of this 21-nucleotide non-coding RNA. The record is from Ensembl. NCBI's taxonomy places the organism in Eukaryota, Metazoa, Nematoda, Chromadorea, Rhabditida, Rhabditidae.
UUUCAUUAGGAUGAUGGUUUU